Mastomys coucha (southern multimammate mouse) is the source of this 719-nucleotide RNA transcript. It is a transcript of the gene named phosphoglycerate kinase 1 pseudogene, with no coding region annotated. NCBI's taxonomy places the organism in Eukaryota, Metazoa, Chordata, Mammalia, Rodentia, Muridae. The transcript has a single exon. The record is from RefSeq and is a predicted model, not a curated record.
AUGGUGUUGCCAAAAUGUCGCUUUCUAACAAGCUGACUUUGAACAAGCUGGACAUGAAGGGGAAGCGGGUCGUGAUGAGGGUGGACUUCAACGUUCCUAUGAAGAACAACCAGAUAACAAAUAACCAAAGGAUUAAGGCUACUGUUCCAAGCAUCAAAUUCUGCUUGGACAAUGGAGCCAAGUCAGUUGUCCUUAUGAGCCACCUGGGCCGGCCUGAUGGUGUUCCCAUGCCUGACAAGUCCUCCUUAGAGCCAGUUGCUGCCGAACUCAGAUCUCUCCUGGGCAAGGAUGUUCUGUUCUUGAAGGAUUGUGUGGGCCCAGAAGUCGAGAAUGCCUGUGCCAACCCAGCGGCUGGGACUGUCAUCCUGCUGGAGAACCUCCGCUUUCAUGUAGAGGAAGAAGGGAAAGGAAAAGAUGCCUCUGGGAACAAGGUUAAAGCUGAGCCAGCCAAAAUUGAUGCUUUCCAAGCCUCAAUGUCCAAACUAGGAGAUGUCUAUGUCAAUGAUGCUUUUGGGACUGCACACCGAGCCCACAGCUCCAUGGUGGGUGUGAACCUGCCACAGAAGGCUGGUGGAUUUUUGAUGAAGAAGGAGCUGAACUACUUUGCCAAGGCUUUGGAGAGCCCAGAGAGAACCUUCCUGGCUAUCUUGAGAGGAGCUAAAGUCGCAGACAAGAUCCAGCUGAUCAAUAAUAUGCUAGAUAAAGUCAAUGAGAUGAUC